Molecule: long non-coding RNA, 5083 nt
Filed under: Nicotiana benthamiana
Lineage: Eukaryota; Viridiplantae; Streptophyta; Magnoliopsida; Solanales; Solanaceae
Description: long non-coding RNA (NBEN_LNC030702)
Source: RNAcentral
ACUAAUUACACUAUCUUCAUUCCUCUCGUAAAUCGGGGAUCCAUAUGAACACGUGGCAAAAUCUGAUUGAUUUGAUUACUGUUGCUUGGAUUUAAAGUUCGUACAUUGGGUUAUUUGUCGAAAAAUGGCGGAGGAGGAAGAAAAAUAAUAACGUCGCCAUGUGUCGGUGAUGUAAAAGGGCAAAAUCGUAAACUAAGAGAAAAUAUAAAGGGUAAAAGAGGAAUUAAAAUAAGUUAUCCCGUGUACGUAGAAAAAUUUGCUGUAAAUGUAGGACUCUGUAGUUCAAAUCUAUCAUCUAAUUUCUCUCUCAGCAUUUAACGCGGCCAUCAGUUUUGGCUUUUCGACUUUGGCACUCUUUCUGUCCCCACUCCCCUAUGAAACAUCUGCGUCUUCUUUACACUGCGCAAAGAGUGUGAUCACCACCUUCUAUUUUCCUUAUUAAGCUACUGAAGAUGAAUGAGCAACCAGAUUCUGUGCUAGAAUUACCUUUAUCAUGCUAGAAUCAGCCGCUUUUUGCUCGUCCUCUAUCGGUUGUUUGGGAUGGAGGAUUUUCCGCGGGAGUGACUCGGCUGUGAAUUACGGCUUGGAAUGUCAGUCUUAAAUUUACAAUGAGCAACCAGAUUCUGUGCUAGGUAAAGUUUAUCUUCCAAUGCUUUUUCGGUUAUUACAUAGAAAGAGAAACGAUUGACUGUUGGAUAUUAGAUUAAAACUGUAACAUAUUGAUUUUGACUAUUUUUGGUCGGACGCUCGUAGUAUUUGUGGCUUUUGGAUCGUUCACCGUUUUGAACAAUUAUUUGAAAUUUCUCGAUAGCUGUGAUUGUGUCCGUGAUAUUCGCCGUCUCUAACUCUCUCUGUGUGUGUAUAUGUGCGUGCUUGCGGUCGAUGUAUAUUGGCUGAAACAGAGGAUGAGUGCAUAAUGAAGGAUCAAUUGAGGAAACGGAUCUGAAGCUGGAGAUGAGAAGGGAUGAUACUUUUCGUGUGGAAGAAGAAGCGGAAACUGAAGUUUUGUAUUGAUUAGAUGAUGAAGUUGUACGUAUCGGCUACAGGAAUUAAAAAACUGACAAUAUCGAGUUCCGCCGCCGUCACGAGCGGCGGAGGUGGUUUAAGAUUGCCGGUUGGCAUGAAAGGGAAGGGAUCAUCGCCGGGGAUUCGCCGGAUAUCUUACCGGGCGUUAUUAUUGCCGGCUAUUUUGGUUCUCGGUUUAAUUUUAUCGUUACUCUUUUUCAGAAUUACCUUUAUCAUGUUAGAAUCAGCCGCUUUUUGCUCGUCCUCUGUCGGUAAACUAUUUUCCGAUUGUAUUUAAUAUAUUUCUUUUGCUUCAUAAUGUGUUUUUCGUUUUUUGGUUAAUAAUUUUAAUUUUUUUUAUUUCUACUGUUUUGAAUUACAGGUUGUUUGGGAUGGAGGAUUUUCGGCGGGAGUGACUCGGCUGUGGUAAAUCAUCUUCCUGUUUCUGAUAAUUUAAUAUGUAAUCUACUCAAUGUCAUUUUCUUUGCGGUGAUUAAAAUAUUCGAAAUAUUAGAUUUAAUAAUAUUUUGGUUGCCUCUUCUUUUUGGGAGUUUUUCAGUAUCACGUGCUAGUUUUACAAUUGUCCACGUGGGAGCACCUUCAGAAUUUGGAUAAAACUUGUUUUUCCUUUUUAUUCCAAAGUUAAAAUUGUUUGGUGUUUUCUUUAUAUAAGAAAUAUAUAUUGGGUGAGGGAAGGAAGGGGAAAUAGGAGAAGAUUACGAAGUGAUAGUAUUUUGAUUUCUCGACUCUGUUUGGUCUAAAUGCCAAAAGUCAUAAAAUAUAAAAAGGUAUCUUAAAAUAUAAAAAGGUAGACAAAAUAAAAAGAGUCAACAUAUAAUAUGUAUACAUAAAACAAAAUUUUAACCUACCUAAAUAGUCAAAAAAUUGGUGGGGGGCGUACACAUGAAAUAUUAUACUAUCAUAUUUGGAAUAUAAAUUCUUUGCUCAACCAUAUUUACAAAAUAUAGUCAAAAAGUAAGUUUUCGCCCAUUAUUUUCAUUAUAACUAUACUUAAAAAGUUUCAAUUCCUUAUGACUCUCUUUAUUUCAUAAUAAAUGAGGUAGUUUGACUCGGUAUUUGUGGAGCAAUGAUAUUUGUAUGGUUAUAUAAGUUUCUCAUUAAGAAUAAAUAGGUAAAAUGAUAUAGUUUAAAGUUGAAUUAUUUUAAAAUUUUAAAAUAUAUUAUUUAUUUUGAAAUUGACUAAAAAAAAAUAUCUCUUAAAUGAGACGGAGAAUACUGAAUUUAGGUCUCUCAAUAUUGCGGAGGAUGAAACUAGAGGCAGUGUAGAAAAAAAAUUGUUUCAAGGGAACACGAGUCUACUGAACUUAGAUUCACUCCUAUACUAUAAUUCCUACUACAAUAAUUUUUAGGUAGCCGGGAAAACCGAUAGAGUUGUAGAAUUUGUAAGGCAAAGAGUAAAUAUCAAACUAGGUCCUUGCCCAUAUAUACUAUACGUAAGUACAACUCAAGUACUAUUAUUUUCUAUUUAGUUCCAGGGAUAACCGGAUUUAAAGGAAUUGUCUGUAAUUGACAUCCACUUGUUGGUUUCUGUACAUCUUGCAACUAGUAAGCCACAUCAUGAUUCAUGUUUUAACCUAUUAUCCCUGACUAGGACUAAGUAAUGUUGUUCCAUUUUUAUUCUUGACUUUGUAGUCCCACUUGAUCUUUAAUGCUAGAGAGCAUAGUAUAGUAAUUAAGAAAAAGUGGGAGACUGUUUCAGUACAAGUCAAAAUUGCUCUUAGAAAAAUCACUUUCAGUAGAUGUCCACUUGACGUAAUUAUUAAGAUUGGUUGGCCUUUCACAUCGCUAUUGCCCAUUGAUAGAAUAACUUUACAUUAAUCCAAUAACUACGUAAUAACUGUCUUUAUAUCCAUUAUUAUUAAGUAGUACUUACCAAUAGUUAAUUAAUAAGUACAUAUUUUUAUAUCAAUUUUGGUCACUUAAUUUCAUUAAAAAUGUGGUUUGGUCUAAGUGAGUCUUUAUCAACAUGAUUCCCCAACUUUUGUCGUUACUUUUUCUGAUGCUAAUUUUCCUCCUUUUGACCGUACGGUGAAAAAGCUCAGAGAAGAGUUGAUGCUGGCAUUGCUGGAGGCAACAAGUGAUGGUGAGGAUGGAAAAGGAGGGAUAGAGAGUUCAACUUCAUUACCAUCCUCAUUCAAUGAUCUUGUGAAGGACAUGACCUCUAGUGGACAAGACGUCAAAGCUUUCGCUUUCAAAGCUAAAGCUAUGGUAACAAGCAACCUUUUACUUCCUGCUUUCCACUUUACAUUUAUCAAAGCUUUCGCUUUCAAAACUAAAGCUAUGGUAACAAGCAACCUUUUACUUCCUGCUUUCCACUUUACAUUUACUUCGCUUUUCUUGCGGGUUAUUUCUUUUUAUUUAUGAGUUGCAGCCAUAAUUCUCGUAUACCUAACGGUGUAUUUUAGUUUCUAUGUAGCUGGAUAAUAAUUUUUUUUAUCCGUUCCUCUUUGGUUGGAGAAUCUUGAAUUGAAAAUGCACAAGUAGGCCACUUUGUCACAUGAAUAAUCAGACUGCCUGCAAUGCUCCAUCACUCAAGCAUUGGUGCGUGUUUGUUUUUGGAAUGCGUAAUGGGCCCAAUCCACUUGUUGGCCUUGGCCCUCUGUGUAAAAGUAUUCUCUUUACCUACCAAUAAUACGAGCUAAAACAAUCCUAUGAUUGCAAAUGUUCUGUAGUUACAACUUUAGUAGGCAUCUACAUUAAGCAAUUAAAUUACUGGGCACUAAAGUCUGAGCCAUAGUUUCUAAAAAAUGUCAAUUUACAGUUAGGCCUUUUGGUUCAAAGGAUUCGGUGGGUUAUCCUGGGAUAAAUUUUGGAAUUAAAUUUAUCAUGUGUUUAGUUGAAGGUAUUACCUCACACCUGUAUUAUUUUUAUAAAAAAAUUGUUAAUAUAACGUAACAAUUAUAGAAGGUGUGAUAGUUUUCAAGGUUAUAGUCCUGGUUUUAGUCCCGGGAUUAGAUAUCCUGGUUGUGAACCAAUCGACCAUACCAUACCCUGCUUCUAUAUCCUGAAGCCAAGUCUAAAAUGCUGAGAAGUCCAAAUCUUUCCUUACCAGUGGGAGGAAUAAGCAUCUUGUAGAAGAUUUUUGGGUGUUUGGACCCAAAGCUAUCUGAGCCAGUUUUUGGUAAUGGCUAAAGAAUAUUGAACUAGGAAUAGAGUCAAUUGUGAUGAACAGAUCCUCACUCUGAUACCUUUGUGAGAAGCGAUAUCCACUGAUAUAUAGGACUAAUAGAGGAGAUCAAAGAGAAGAAAUUAUUAUCAACCUGAAACCAGAAUCUCAUUUAGGUUCUUCUCUAAUACAAUUUGAAUCGUUCUAGGAUAUUAGAAACUCGUUGUUGGCCUUUCAUGAGCUUCGUUUCCACAUUCUACUUGCAUCGUAGUUGAAAAUAAGUACUUGGGACCUUGUUCUUUCCGGACACUUCAGACUUCAGUAUCUAAACUUAUUCCUAACAGCCCUAAGACCAAGUGAAAGCUACACUAUAAUAGACAACCUGAGGGAGGGGGUUCCUGUUCCUCCAAAAUUCCCAGCAUAGCAUAGCUUUAUGACCUAAUAGGACAUGUUUGUCUGCAACUCGAUUGCUCAGAUUUUGACAUUUCAAGAGUCUCUAUGUGGAACUUCAAAGUGAGAUUUCGAAAAUAACAAUCACUUCACUGACUUUUAAGUGGACAUGAAUUUUUUUCUUUCAACUCGCUGAAAAUUUCUCGAUUAUAGAGUAGGUCAUACAAAAUUUAAUGGAGCACCAUUGUAUUGUUGUAUUGUUAUAAAUAUUUGAAAGAGUUGUAUGCUUCUAUCCUUUGUUUAGAUAGUGAAGAUGGAGCAAUUGGUAGAGUCAGCUAGACAACGCGAGUCUAUUUUCUGGCAUUUAGCUUCUCACGGUGUACCAAAGGGGGGCAUACAUUGCCUAUCUCUCAAGUUAGCUGAAGAAUAUGCUGAAAAUGCUGCCGCACGUUCUCGCUUGCCUCCCCCUCAAUAUAUUUCACGCCUCACUGACCCUUCCUUCCAUCACGUAGUUCUUUUAACAGACAACGUACUUGCUGCGUCUGUUGUAGUUUCCUCAAC